RNAcentral lists this ribosomal RNA (490 nucleotides) under uncultured bacterium. RNAcentral describes it as "partial 16S ribosomal RNA". It matches the Rfam family "Bacterial small subunit ribosomal RNA", at positions 30 to 507 of the family's 1533-position model. The record is from RNAcentral.
AUUGAACACUGGCGGCAGGCCUAACACAUGCAAGUCGAACGGUAACAGGAAGACGCUUGCUUCUUUGCUGACGAGUGGCGGACGGGUGAGUAAUGUCUGGGAAACUGCCUGAUGGAGGGGGAUAACUGCUGGAAACGGUAGCUAAUACCGCAUAACGUCGCAAGACCAAAGAGGGGGACCUUCGGGCCUCUUGCCAUCGGAUGUGCCCAGAUGGGAUUAGCUAGUAGGUGGGGUAACGGCUCACCUAGGCGACGAUCCCUAGCUGGUCCGAGAGGAUGACCAGCCACACUGGAACUGAGACACGGUCCAGACUCCUACGGGAGGCGGCAGUGGGGAAUAUUGCACAAUGGGCGCAAGCCUGAUGCAGCCAUGCCGCGUGUAUGAAGAAGGCCUUCGGGUUGUAAAGUACUUUCAGCGGGGAGGAAGGGAGUAAAGUUAAUACCUUUGCUAAUUGACGUUACCCGCAGAAGAAGCACCGGCUAACUCCGUG